CCAUGUGGGCAGAGCUAUUCUGACAGGAAGAGGAGGGUAUGGAAGUACCAGGGGGAGGGGCUUCCCAGCCCAGGGCAGUUCUAGGAAGGCAGGCAAGAGUGGUACCUGACUGAGCCAGGCCCCUUUUGGAAUGCCUCCCGGCUAUAACCUUAACCAUGAGAAAAAUGCUGUUUCGGCGUUACACCGACCAGGAACCCAGCGUUCAGAGAGGUCAACUAACUUGGCCAAGGUCACACAGCAGGUCCCGGUAGCCGGGCUGCGGUGGCGCUCACCUACCGGCUGGCGGCCGAGGACUGGGGUGGGGGUGCCGCACCGCUAAGUUUGUCGCCUCCUCCGCGGGUCUCCACCGGGUCCACGGCUUGGUCCUGCAGCUGCAGCUGAGACUGCGGCGGGACUGCGCGGACGCAAGGAGAGGUUGGGCCCGCAGGACGCUCGGAAGAGGGCGCCGGGCCCGGCGCCGCACAAAACCCCCUUUCUUCACCCCCGCCCCCGCCCCGCCCUUCCCCGGGGCUGCCCCCGCCCCCUGUCCCGGAACGCGGGGGGCUCGGGAAGGUCACGAGACCCACUGCCUUCUCUGCGUCGGUUCCCGGCGGCAGUUGCGAGAGCAAGGACGAGCGAAGCAGCCAAGUCCCUCCUGGAUGGGAAUUCUGGACUGCCCUCUGCUGGCUACCCCAACCGCUCCACUCCCUCCGCCUGGGCUUCCACUCCCAGAGCAGCAGACUUGGCUCCAAAGGGCUUUGAGAAGCUCACAGAAAAACUCCUCCCCCAAUCCUUGAGCAUCUAAAGGUGGGAGUCUGGCUCCUCCCCAGGGACCCAUCUUGGUAGACCCAGGCCAAGAAGACUGGGGGUGCUGGCUGUGACCUGGGAAGACAGAGCAAGUGACCUUCCUCGCCACCUUCCCCCAUGACUAGAAGUGUGGCACACAUCUCGGUGCCCUGGGGGAGUCCGACCUUGAUCAAGGCCAGCAGCACCUGGAGCUGGACAAGGGCUGGCGGCAGACAGUCUGUUCCAAGAGGCAGACCCCUGGUGGGAAAGCAGACACGAUGAGAGAACAGACAGCGGCUGCUGUGAAGAUGGAACUGAGAGCCAGGACUCAGAGUCAUGGGCAUAGAGGCUGAGGAGCAGAGGCUGCUGCCCUGGGUGACGUCUCCUGCACUUGGGCUGGGUGAGGGAAGCACCUGGCCCAUGGCACGGACUCAGCAAAAUCUAGUUCUUUUUCUUUGACACACACACACACACUAUCCACCAGGUCUGCUGGCUGAAGGUCAGUGGACCACACCCCUGUGGAUGGGAUGGAGGGCUCGGUACUCGAGAGGAGCAUUUAUUUCCCAGUGGAGGGAUGAGUACUUCCCAGUCUGCCAGCUGUGAAAACUCACCCUGAGAUCUAACACACUGCACAGGCAGCGGCUGAUCAGUGACUUUCCUUACUGUCUUCUUCACUGGCAUCUUGACCCGUAGUCAUACGACAGCCCCCCACCCCCCAUUUCUAUUCACUUUCUGAGUAGAGGCGAGAAACAAGAACUUCUCUGUAGGUCUCGGAAAGGAACCCUCGGGAUGAGCUGAAAGCAGACAGGAUCAAUAGAAGCAGGGAAAAGGAACGUCAGAUUUCAAGUAGGACCGCCUGCCCCAGUAACAGGAGGAGAAUGUCUCAGGUAACCUUAGGUACCUGAGACAAAGAAACAGACCCAAAGAGGUGAAGUGACUGUCUGGGGUCACACAGUAGGUAAUGGACUGGCCAUGACCAAAACCAAGUCUCCUGCCUCCCAGGCCAGGGUCUUGCCAGGGCACCCAGCUGUCUCUCUCAGGGGACAGGAUGUGGGGAGGUGGAGAGAAGACAGAGAGGAGGGAGAGUGGUUUCGCUCCUCCCACCCCACGUGCAGCCCAGCUGGCUUGCCUCCCAGUCUCCUGGGCGCUGGGGAGUUUUCCAGUCUCUCUGGAGGACAAUCCAUCUGCCUCUUUCCCUCGGGCUGAGGUCAUGAACCAAGCUGAGGAAGCAGGAGCUCCCCUCCGAGUUCUCGCCUCCCGAGUGCCCGAGUGCCCCCACCUCCAGUGUUAGUCCUGGGACUUCCUCACCGGAUUCCCAACUACAGUGGCCACUGGGAGAGCCUGUCCUUCCAGCCCCUGAACACCUGCCCGCACUGUCCCAGACUUGGGGGUGGGGGCCGAGGCAGCUUGGUUCCUCUCUGAGGUCCUGCACGUCACAUAGGGUCCUAUGCCAUGGGGACGUGCAAGCGGGGCUGCAGGGACUGGAGGCGGCGCUGAACGCUGGCACAGCUGUGUUCAGAGAAUGGGGCUUUGAUAGCUUCUGAAAGGGGCCAGGAAGCAGGGCCCCCCAGCCCAGGCG
Long non-coding RNA from Rhinolophus ferrumequinum (greater horseshoe bat), 2344 nucleotides. RefSeq lists it as uncharacterized. The transcript has 5 exons. The record is from RefSeq and is a predicted model, not a curated record. Lineage: Eukaryota; Metazoa; Chordata; Mammalia; Chiroptera; Rhinolophidae.